UGGAUCCAUGGUGACCACUGGUGGCGCAGGAGUCAUAAGCGAUGAAUAUGUGUCUGGAACUCUGAGGUCGGU
This is a small nucleolar RNA of Sapajus apella (tufted capuchin), 72 nucleotides long. RefSeq annotates it as small nucleolar RNA SNORD113/SNORD114 family. Lineage: Eukaryota; Metazoa; Chordata; Mammalia; Primates; Cebidae. The record is from RefSeq and is a predicted model, not a curated record. The transcript has a single exon.